GAGAGUAAAGACAAUUGUAGUGUGAUCAUCAGACUUGUAGAAAGUUGUGAGAGUGUUAAAGGUCCCAUUCUGUGCUUAGCUAGGCAGGAUGGGCUCCCAUUGACUUCAAUAAGAGUCUAGUGUGCUUAUCUCAGAACAGAAUUUGGUUGCAAGGCAUCAAUUUAAAAGCAGAUUUGUAUAUCUAAAGAGGCUGCCAAAUACAGCUAGGAGUGGGUUGGGAGAUGUGGAAGGAAUGCAGAAGAUGGAAAUCAAAGGAGUGACUGUAUUGCUAACUGGUAGUUCUGAGAAGAGCAAGGACAUGGAAUUGUCCACCCUGUUCCUUCCCAGGAACUGGCUUGUAUUCUGCCAUUAUACCUGUCUCCACCUUCUCUUUCUGAAAGGUGCUAGUUUAUUUCAAAAAACCCUGAGAACAUAACUCUCGGUCAGAGAGGGAAGGAUCAGACUGGAAUAAACGAGGGCUUUCUUGGCUGCAUUACAUCCAUAUUGACAUGAAAGGUGGGGUUUUCUCUCAUGAUACUAGAUAAUGAAUUUGAGCCUGGAUUAGAAAGGUAUAAAGAACCCAUCACAUAAAUGCUUUUUGGUCAGCCUGGGACUCACGAUACUGUGAUCCAGAAAGAGACACUUCAUACAGAUGGGAGAUGGUGAGACGUACCUAAAGAGGGAGUUGGGCCUGGUGAUUAGAGCUGGACUGCGGUAGGGUACCGGUGGGAGUCUAGUAGCUCACGUCAACAGAAGGAUCCAGGGAUGUAUUAUUGUCCAGUUCUUGAAUCCUGAGGAUCUGUGGUCUGAGGAGAGCAAUAGGAUCUCACUAAGCGCUGACUCCUCCAAGGUGAGGCGCACCCUCGGCUCCCUUGGAUUUCAGAGUUGGGGGCACCUGGAUGACUUUUAGAAUCCAAAACCAGAUGGCGGGUGCAGCAGGACACAGCCGAUUUUCCCAGUCUUGGGGCUAGUCUGGUUCCCAGCCCAAAGGCUACUGUAACUUAUGCCUGGCUGCCCAUGGCCCAGAGGAGCUAUUCAAGCAGCUGGUGUGCAGGCAUGCCCUGAUUACACUAUCGGUGCCAAGGACUAGAAGGGCCAUGGCUUAGAACCAGUGUAGAAGCUGUGUCAGCCAGGGAUUCACCUCCAGGGGGGAAUCUCCAGGUAGCUGGUUAAAUUGGCUUCCCAGCUGCUCUGCAGCACUGGAACUGGGGCCCGAAUCUCUCUCCCAGGGUGAGAAACUGGCCUCAUUGAAGUCAAUGGGAGUUUUGUCAUUGACUGGCUUAAUCCUAUUUCACCCGAGAGUCACCUAAUAGUCCACCUAGAGGGAAGGUUGAGAGAGGAAAAACAGAUACAGCAUGAAACAUCUAGUUGAAGAAUAAGUGAGCAUAAUUUUGCAAGUGCGUAACCAAUGCUUUAAUUUAUUCUUCUCCCUACCGCCGAUGCAAUGGCUAAUCAUACUAAAUGCAUGUGCCGUAACAGUGCCCCGUGCACUGCACUCAUUGGAAAGUAAGGCAUGUUGGCUGGAAAACUGGGGAUAAAUUCAUUUUGCUUACAAGACUAUAUUUACUCAGCAAAAUGAGCUGGAGGCUUCUGUAUAAAUUGAUAUGUCACUUGGCACUCUAAUAACAGCAGCACCUGGGGUGAAAGUGGAAAUUCUGUAGUACUUGUGUGACGGGUAUACUGUUAAUGUAUGAUUCUGUACAUUG
Mauremys mutica (yellowpond turtle) is the source of this 1685-nucleotide long non-coding RNA. RefSeq lists it as uncharacterized. The record is from RefSeq and is a predicted model, not a curated record. Lineage: Eukaryota; Metazoa; Chordata; Testudines; Geoemydidae. The transcript is spliced from 4 exons.